UACGGGGGGUGCAAGCGUUGUUCGGAAUUACUGGGCGUAAAGGGCUCGUAGGUGGCCAACUAAGUCAGACGUGAAAUCCCUCAGCUUAACUGGGGAACUGCGUCUGAUACUGGAUGGCUUGAGUUUGGGAGAGGGAUGCGGAAUUCCAGGUGUAGCGGUGAAAUGCGUAGAUAUCUGGAGGAACACCGGCGGUGUAGACGGCUUUCUGGACCGUAGCUGACGCUGAGACACGAAAGCGUGGGGAGCAAACAGG
RNAcentral lists this ribosomal RNA (253 nucleotides) under uncultured bacterium. Its description in RNAcentral is "partial 16S ribosomal RNA". It matches the Rfam family "Bacterial small subunit ribosomal RNA", at positions 524 to 776 of the family's 1533-position model. The record is from RNAcentral.